AUGAACGCUAGCGGCAGGCUUAAUACAUGCAAGUUGAGGGGCAGCAUGAUAUACGCGAGUAUAUUGAUGGCGACCGGCGGACGGGUGAGUAAUAGGUAGGAGACCUACCUCAUACAGGGGGAUAGCAUAGAGAAAUCUGUGGUAAUACCCCAUGAGGUUAUAUGAAUAGAGGCAUAUAAUCAAAGCAUAAGCGAUUAUGCGGUAUGAGAGGGGCCUACUGACCAUUAGCUAGUUGGUGAGGUGAGGGCUCACCAAGGCGAAGAUGGUUAGGGGUUUUGAGAGAGAGACCCCCCACAUUGGAACUGAGAGACGGUCCAGACUCCUACGGGAGGCAGCAGUAGGGAAUAUUGGGCAAUGGGCGAAAGCCUGACCCAGCCAUGCCGCGUGAAGGAAGACGGCCUUAUGGGUUGUAAACUUCUUUACUACGCGAAUAGAGGUUAGUACGAGAUACUAAUAGGAAGGUAGUGUAGUAAAAAGCACCGGCUAACUCCGUG
Molecule: ribosomal RNA, 494 nt
Filed under: uncultured bacterium
Lineage: Bacteria
Description: bacterial SSU rRNA
Rfam family: Bacterial small subunit ribosomal RNA
Source: RNAcentral